GAGGAAGAGGYUGUUGUUGCUGGCCAGGAGCUGUGCCUUGCUACCGCCGUCUGGAGCAGAGCGAGCGAUGUGGGGGUCUGUCAUCAAUUUAAUUCUAGCCGUAACACACCAGCCUUCACGCAACACGGAAACAAAUCUGUUGUUUGCACCGUGAGAUUUCCAGCUCGACUCAAAUCAUGAGAAGAAAUCACUCUGGCUUCAGAGGAGGUGAGAGGUCCCCAUAAUGAGUGAAARCCUCCUGGCCAGAGAAGCAGCUCCAGCAGUUGUUGCAGUGCACAACGGGACCAGUAGAAAUUCCGGGUGAGCUGAGCAAUCCCUCUGCU
This is a long non-coding RNA of Nothoprocta perdicaria, 323 nucleotides long. RefSeq lists it as uncharacterized. The record is from RefSeq and is a predicted model, not a curated record. The transcript is spliced from 2 exons. Lineage: Eukaryota; Metazoa; Chordata; Aves; Tinamiformes; Tinamidae.